Meleagris gallopavo (turkey) is the source of this 549-nucleotide non-coding RNA. Lineage: Eukaryota; Metazoa; Chordata; Aves; Galliformes; Phasianidae. The record is from RefSeq and is a predicted model, not a curated record.
GUGACCAACUUUGUACCUUCCUUGUUAUGCUACCCAGAAUCCUGUACUUGAAACCAUCAAAAAGAUGAUAGAUUCUCAACACCAGGCAGUGCCCUUCUGUAAGCACAGGCAGGGCAAGGCGUUGUUCUUCCUGGCUCUGGAAACACUCCAACUCAUAUUCAAUUUCCACAGGAAGAAAUCCUGAAGCUUCACAUACUUGUGCUGAUUCCAAACAUCUCUCUGACCCAGGCAGCGGAUUCUGAAAUCCUGAAUUGUUUUCUGCUUGCUGGAAAUCCUCACUGCCUGAAUGGGAGUCUAUAUCAAACUGUUUGAGAGCAGCAACAACACCUACAGAGCUCUCGAGAUGACUGAAGAACUUUUCUGAUGCACGGGGUUCCUCCAUUGAGAGAACCCCUUCAGCUCCCCGAUCUCCCUCUACCCUAGCACUCCAGACCCACAGCAUCCAUAGGUAACCCUUACCUGCUCCCACGUGACACUGUUGGGCUAAAGACAAAGCAGCUCGAGGCUGGAGCUGAGUGCUCGCGGUGCAGCCAGGCACCUGCGCAGCUU